CGCCUCCCCGCCCAGCAGAGCAGCUACCGCAACCACAAAAUCAACCUUUUCUACGGCUACAGACACUGCCAGCCAUAACAUAGCACUGGAAAUAAUCCAUAUUAGACCGAUUUUUUUAAUGUUUAUAGGCCUAUAAUGAGCCAGUAGACCUGUGAGGUAACUGAUUUACGAUUUAACGAAAGCAUUCCGUUCCAGGGAUCAAAAUGCCUCUCAUGUUGCCGUCGCAGGGGACGUCAGCUGCAUCCUGUGUAGCACUGCUGGUAAUUGCGGCUUCCACUGUCUACUCCAUGGAUGUACUUGUGGCCCAGCAAAUCAAUGCUCUGAAUGGCACAAUGGUCAGGAUUUCCUGCAGUUUCACUUCCUGCUACAGACUAGAUCCCACCAAGUUUGCUAUGAACUGGACAUAUCAGGAGACUGUAAAUGGCACAGAGGAGAUGUUUAUGACCUUUAAGAACAAAAUAACUCCUUUGAGGACAGAUCACUUUGGGGACCGGGUAAAGUUUGCUGGGAAUCUGGACAAAAAUGACCUCUCCAUCACCAUCUCAGAUGUGCAGCUAACAGAUGAGGGAAUCUACAACUGCUAUGUGCGUAAUCCUCCUGAUCGCAUCCAGGGCCAUGGUAUCAUCCAGCUGUCUGUUGUCACUGAGUUGCCUCCUCCACGGGACUCAACCAUUGCAGUGGCGAUUGGAGCAUCUAUAGGAGGUAUGCUGGCUCUGGUUAUUCUGUCCAUGGUGGUGGUGAAGUGUGUGCGCAGGCACAAGAAACAAGAGCUCAUAUCCGAUGAACAGAAGAUGGAAGAGGAGGGCAAAACAGAUGGAGAAGGGGGUACAGAAGAGGGCACCAAACAACUCUAACCUGGCUGCUCGACCUGGAAGGCCGAAAGUUUGUUGGAGCCCUGCCCCUCACAUGCUGAAAUGUAUGCGCCCUGCCUGAAGAUGUAUAUUGAAAUCUGCUUGACCCAUCGUCCUGUGACUGCAUCGAUGCCCAUCCUACGGCACUGUCCUUUCUUGCCUCUGCCAUCAAACAUGUCCCAUUUUGAAAACACUCAGCCACUGCCAUACCUGGGUAUGAGUGCAUUGAGAAGAAACUACAGUGCAGGUCUCCAAACUACAGAUUCUUCCAUUUGACACUAAGGUUUACAGUAGUAAGAAAGCCAAUGAUCUAAACUACACUUUUUCUGGGACCAUCUUUUCUGAAACUUUUAGGGUUGUGUCCUCAAACCACUGCCAACACAUUUGUUGUGUGAUAUUUUAAGAGAUUAUCUUGGGGAGAGGUGUGUUGUUAUUGUCUUUUCGAUCAAUUAUUAUUGAUAAGGACAAAGCACACUAUUCCUAAUACUGCCAAAUAUAUUACUAGUUUGAUGAUAUUUCUAAGAUGUUUUCUGGAUAUCGAAACAGUCUUUUAUUUGUUCUUCUGGUCUGGUGCAAAAAAAGCUCUCAGACUCUGUCUCUCUCUUUCUCUGUGUGUGCAUUUGCAAAAGUGAGUGUGUGUGUGUGUGUGUGUGUGUGUGUGUGUGUGUGUGUGUGUGUGUAAUAUUUGUGUGAAAUAUAAAGGAAUAGUUCAGUUAAAAAGGUAAUGUAACUCACAAUGAAUGAAUGCAAAUAGCCACCACGUAUUGUUAUGCAAAUGAAAUAGUGCUAAUUGAAGCCCACCGGCUUCUAUUCACUUUCACUGUUAUCUAUGUUAGUAGUUUUGGUCAAUCUACUCCUUUAAAGAAAUAUUGCCAUAUGCAAAAGUUAGAACACUCCCAUUCAAAUGACAUGUUUAGUUAGAAUGUUUUCUAAAUGAAAAUAUGUUAACACACAAUUUAGAAACCUAAAUAUGUCAUUAGUCUGCACAUUGUAGUGCACAAUUUCUAUUUAUUUGCUGACUUUAACAUAUGGGGAAAAAUAUCAUGUAAAGUGUGCCACAACUAGUACAGGCCAGAUUUUGUUUUGUUUUUUCCACAAUAUGUUAAAUUCACCAAAAACCAGUCAUCAUGCUGUGUGUUCUCAGUAGAGGAUGUGUUAAAUUCGUUUCAUUUAGAAAAGCAACAAAAUGUACCCAGGGUACCCAAACUUUUGCAUACAACUCUAAUUGUGAGGACCAAAUGUUCUCACCAGUGCAGUAAAGCUCCAAAAAAGUUUUUGUUGUCUAAAUGUUUUCUGCUCUGUCUUUUGUAUACAGCGAGCAGAACAGAUAUGAUUAUAGUAGUAGCACAUUUAACUGGAACUUCUAACCAGUGUGUCGCCUUAGUUUCCAUUGCUUGCUGUGCACCCUCUCAUGCAACCUGACUGAAAAUAAUUACACUACUUUUCAAAAGUUUGGAAUCGCUGUUGAAAAGUUUGGGAUUCAUGUUUUCAGAACACAAGUGUGCAGAAAGAUUAUAACAUAUGUGCCCUGUGCAACUUUCAAGUAAUUAGAAGGCAACAAGCAGACUGUAAAUAAAAAUGAAUACAAUGUGUCCAGCAUGAUGAACAGAGCCGUAAAAGAUUGUAAAAUGAUAUCCAGAAUACAUCAUAUUUGAAAAGCGGAGACAGAAUCUCAAAGCAAAUAACUUGACAAGAAAAUACUGUACAUAGAUAAUUACAGUAUAUUAGUAUAUACAUCUCUGUCCACAGAAUUCCUGAAUUAUGGAAUACAACAUCAUAUAAAAGCUGUUAUGGCACAUGAUACCAAACUUUUGAAGAGUAAAUCUUACAUUAGCAUGCUUUAAUAUAACCUGCACAUGUGACAUUCACACAGUCUUGUAUUCACAAGCAUUUUAGUGUCACUUCACUAACUUCAAAUCUCGGAAUACAAUCAGAAAUUUAAAACUAAAACAGUACUAAAUAAAAACUCCAAAUCUUUUGGCUCAAAAACAUGCAUACCUGCAUAUACACACACACACUACACACAGAGAGAGCACAAUAUGGUGACAAUUCAGGGAAAAUUACUGAGUUAAAAUGUGUUUCUAUCAGUUUCUAAUAGUUAUAGAUUAAAAUCAGACAUAGGACUGAGGAGUUACUUUAUUGCUUAGAAAGAGGCUUACACAAUGAAAGUUUGAAUGUAUUGUGUGAAAGGUUGAAAGUAUUAUACAUUCCUUUUGCAUUAGUGCUAUUAUUUUGUAAAAAUCUGUAGCAGUAAUGUGAAAUUAUUUCUAAUUACAACAUUAAAUAUGCACAUUGAACCGCAUUAGUAAUCAAAUUAAUCAAAUAAUCUAUUAAAUAUUCAGGUCUUAAGUUAGUGAUAGACUAUUUCAAAAUAGUACGAAACUGUUGUUAAAGUUACAGUAAAGUACACAAAGCAACACAAUGCUUGAAAACAAUGCUUAGUAUUUACUUGGACAUACAGUAGCUAGAUUUAAAGGGUAAAAUGUAAAUGUGUUAAAAAUGGCAAAUGUUGAUGAUAGAAAGCAGUUCUAAAAAAUUACACACAAAAAAACUUCACAUUAUGUAAGCACUGAAUAUGAAUACCACUGCUAACUACUUUUUGUUACAAAUGUAAUGGACACUAGGUAAUUAUAGUAAUAAUUUAUUUAUUUGUCCAUUCAUCUAUCUACCCAUCCAUCCUUUUUAUUUUAUUUUUUGACUUGAGAAAAAUGACCUGAGAGUGUAACAGUAUCUAUAUAUCAUCGUAUCUAUAGUUUUAUGUAUUAUGCAUUGCAAACCCAUUGGUUUCCAUUGUGUGGGAUGUAACUGUAUUAAAGGUAUUUUUCAAAGUUUCUUCCUCUCUUUAUAAACUACUGCAUUCUCAACAAUUCCAAUGUAUAAUCAUAAAACUAUCUACCUAAAUGGCUACCACUAUAGCUUACAGCAAGAGAAAUGUUGCUGCUUACGAUCUUACAUUGGCUGUGGUCACCACUGUGAUGGAUGUAGACCCUUUUCACUCGUGCCAUUGCUAAAGUGACAGAAAUCUAUAGCUCAGUCUUACAGCGUACUCCCACAUUGCCACAGGAAACUUACUGUCAUAAAGACAUAAUGGCUUAUAAAUACACUUUCCAACUGUAGCACACAAUAUCAUCUUUUAAGUGUGAUAAAACUGAAUGAUAUUUACCUCCCAACAUCACUAGAAACAAUACAGUUCUUUAAGAAACGUUUUAUUGUUCAUUGUGAGGUAGGGAUAUAGAAGAUAUUCAGGUGGCCCCAUAUUAACAAAUCAUUGCUGACAGAACAAAACCUUGCAUCUCCAUAUUUGCCAUUUUUUCCCCACAAAAUUAAAAAACACCAAAUGCUUUUUUCAUUGUGUGUAAACUUCAUGGCAAGUAGACCAACAGAAGUGGUCAAAAUUACCUGUAAAUUCCUGUUACAAGAAAGUUUUUGUCCUCUUCUGUAAAGUUUUCAUUUCAGAGAUAUGAGGUUUUGUUCAGACAGUGAUAGUAUACUCCAUAAUUAAAAAAAAAAAGGCACUGGAAUGUCUUGUAUUAAUUGCAUAUCUGUUGUACAUUUCCCCUAUUGUACCUAUACAUAUGGAUGGUAUAUAAAACUGGUGUAACAGCAAAGGUCACUUUAGAAGUGACAUAAUACCAAAAAUACCAAAGAAUGAUGUGUCCAUUAAAUUUUUAUCAUAUUUAGCCAGACUUCUUGAGUCUAGCUAUCAAAACUAAUUUCACAUUCCAGAUUCAGGCAUGUCUACUGAACAAGUCAAUUAUAAAAUACAUAAAAUAAUGGCUACUGACAAAUGGCUAGGGUAUUGUAGAUACAGAACAAAGUGGGUACUAUGGGAAAAUGACUUGAUACUCGUCCCCAAACAUAUUUGAUUCAGAAUUUUAUAUGAAGUGAUAUGAGGAAAAAAGUCUUUGUUUUGGACAAACAGUAUUAUUCAAAUGGCCUUACAUUCAUGUCAUGAUUGUAUGUGAGUGUUCUUAUUGCCUUUACAAUUCAUGAUGAGAAAUGCAGCAAGUGAGCUUCUGGUAGUAUAACAGCGGGUCAAAAGAAUCGGAGACUACACAUACCCUUUUUGUUGAUCUAUUUCUUUAUUUUUAACAUGCCACCAAAUCGUGUAGAGAUUUAGUUCAACAUGCAGUGUCCAAAAUGGUUGGCAUAAGUGUAACUCUUGGAUGCAUACGUGGCACAUAAGCUCAAUACAAGUGAUAAGAUGUCAUUUGUGGUGUGUGUUUAUUCCUAGUGUAGUUCACAGUAUGAGCAGUUGUAUGCUGAGCUUUGAUAUACUCCCUUAAAUGAGAACGGAAAAAUCACAUUGCAGCAUGAUGGCUUUACAGUAAUAUACCCGAUGUUUGAAUGGCUGCACUUCUGAGAGAACGCUAUGGCUCUGUGUCCUUACAUCCAUAUUCUCAUCCUUCACGAGAAAAACACGAUUACUUUAAAAUGUAGGUAGUACUCAUGUGAUACAUAGCUGUGUUAUGAGAAUAUCUUAAAAUUACUUUAAAGACUGCAUGAUAAUGGUUUUAUAUUGCACAUCUUUGUAUUGUUCACUUCUUACUUUUUUCAGCGGUAAUAUGAAUGUGUAAUUAUACAUGCUGUAUGAAUAUGGUAUAAGAUAAGAUUAUCUGUUUAAAUGUGUAUUGCCUAGCUCUGAAUGAGAGGUUCUGUCAGAUGGACAACAGAUUUGAAAUAAGUAUACUCAGGCAUGAGAUAUUUGAUUAAUGUUGGUAACCCAUUGUAAAGAGAUGUUUUGCACUGGUGGAAUAUAAAUAUAGACAAUACUGAAAUGAAGUAUAAUUUAAAAAGUAAUUAUUGUGCUGUCUUGAUUUGUCUGAUACAAAUGCAUGCUCUUCUAAAUUUGAUAUAUUAUGUUACCCUUAAAUAAUACCCCUCACAAACAACAGCUUUUCUUCAUACAACAACAACAACAAUAAUAAUAACCCGGGACCAGGGCUGGGCAAACUUUACUGCCAUGUCUGAAGCCACAGUUAGAACAUUUAUUAAGAUCUUAAUUAAAAACUUCUACAUAGUAAAGUCACAUUUCUGUGUUUGCUAGUAUAGCACAAUUAUCAAGUAUGUCCUUAAAAAGGAAAGGAUAUUGGGGCUGAUGUAAUGAAUAAUAAUGCCGAUCUGGGCCAGGUGCUGUAUCUGGGGCAGGUGUUGUUAAAUAGGCCGUACACUGAGGAGCUGGCAGAGGGGUCAAAGGGGCAAAGCUACUGCAGUGCUAGAGAAAGCAGAAGCAAAUGCGACUCAUCCAUACAAACAACAUUAUCUGCCUGCAAAUUUAUGAAGCAGCCUCUGAGGACAAAGUAAUAAGUCGCUUGUACUUUGAUAAGGAAAACAUCUUCAAGAAUGAGAAUAGGACUGCUGAUCAAACAACUUAGCUUGUGGACAUGACUUGCAUCAAGCAGAUCACUUGAAUGUAUUGUAGGUGUUACUGCAUAAUUGCGUAAGGGGGUUUCAAGUAAAAUCUAGGAUUACAAGUUUGCAUUUAGGUCUGUAUUAGUUCCUUGUACGCAAAUCGGCCAAUUGAUUUUUGUUUUUGGAUGAAUUUAUAUAUUUGUAGUAUACAUAUAAAUAACGGGAGCCAGCCAAGUAUGAAUGUGCAUGGUACUCACCAGUCUAAAGAGCAAAUACAGUCCUCUCCCUGAUAAACGGCCGUGCCAAAACUCAUUUUUUUUAGCCAUGUUAUAAUAAAAACAUUUUAAUGAAAAGUGCCAUGGAUUUUCACUUUUUGUGAAGUUUCAUCUUCAAUAUUAAAUGUUUACCUCCCUU
RNA transcript from Pygocentrus nattereri (red-bellied piranha), 6617 nucleotides. It is a transcript of the gene named sodium channel, voltage-gated, type II, beta, with no coding region annotated. The record is from RefSeq and is a predicted model, not a curated record. Lineage: Eukaryota; Metazoa; Chordata; Actinopteri; Characiformes; Serrasalmidae. The transcript is spliced from 6 exons.